UAAUAAUAAUACAAUAAUGAUUUGAUGUAGUUUGUCAGGUAUUGUAUUAUUAGAAUCUAUAAUAUAAAGUUAUAAAGGUUUCACAUUUCUUGGGCUGGAUAUUAAAUGUGUACUUGAAUAGACCCUUAUCUAAAUCCCUAUUAUUAAAACUACUAUUGUGUUUCAUAGUGAAGUAUUAAAUAUUCUGAUGGAUACAAUUAUUUGGAUUAUUCAGAUCUUGUAAGACUGCUCACUGACAAGGCAUCCAACACUUCAUUUAAGUAUGAAAAGUCACAUUAGAUGAGAUAAACCAGCUUAACAAGACCAUUUUAAUGAAUAUUUCCUCCCGCUUAUUUCUAAGAGAUCUAGACUAUGUAGAAAUAGCCUGAAGCAGAUUUGUGAAGAAUAGCACAUUGAUUACCUAAUUAUUGUACUGGAAAAAAUAUGACAAAUUUUAAUGAUGUUAGACAAUGUUAGACACUACUUUAGAAAAUAAUCAAUAUAAUUUUUCUUGACAUCUGUUUCUAAUUUGUUUUCUUAUAUUUCUGUAUUCUUCAAGUUCCUGAG
RNAcentral lists this long non-coding RNA (546 nucleotides) under Mytilus galloprovincialis (Mediterranean mussel). Lineage: Eukaryota; Metazoa; Mollusca; Bivalvia; Mytilida; Mytilidae. The record is from RNAcentral.